This 72-nucleotide transfer RNA is filed under the name Marmota monax (woodchuck). It matches the Rfam family "tRNA". Rfam says of the family: Transfer RNA (tRNA) molecules are approximately 80 nucleotides in length. Lineage: Eukaryota; Metazoa; Chordata; Mammalia; Rodentia; Sciuridae. The record is from Rfam by way of RNAcentral.
GGGACUGGAACUCAGUGGUAGAGUGCUUGCCUUGCAUGCAGGAGGCCUUAAGUUCAAUCCCUAGCACUGCCA